GAAAAAUCCCAGGAUAUGCUUCCCAUAAAACCUCAGUUGCCUGAUUUUCCAUUGGCCUUUCAACUUCAGUUGGCAGCUCUCCUACCUGUGACCCAGCUAUACUGCUAGCAAGGACAAAUUGUAUUCCAGAAGGAUCUGUGUAACAGACUCUGGGUAUUGGUUUAUAGGCCUCCACUGCUGCCACUACUACAACUGCUGUGUCUGAGCUGGAGCGGUGGGUCAAUUCUCAUUCAUCUGGAGCCCAACCGAUGCUCUUCCAGACAAUGCCACCACACCUCGAUCACAAUGGUCCUCUGCCAUCCACUCCGCCGAAAGUGCCUCUCUUUCACCAUCCGGGCCUAGCUGUGGACCUGGUGCCUUGGCUGAGCCUGUGUGUCUGGGCUGGGGGAUCCAGGUUGGGACCUGCUUCACGCUUGCAGGAGACCCCGGACUGUGGUGGAGCUGCAUUCAACUCAUCCUGGUGUUGCUGUUGCUUGCAUCUGCCAACUGAGGUUCGUAUGAUGCACAUGUUUGCUUCGGAGAGCUCCUGGAACUCCCUUCCUCAUGGCACUGUGUGUGCAUCUACACCAAAUGGUCUGAGCAAUUCAAUGAAGCAGCUGACUAGCAUCUUCUCAAGGGCACGUAGGAAUGGGCAAUACAUUGGAGCACAGCCAGCGAUACCCACAUUCCAUAACUGGAAAACAAAGUUGCGAUCUCACUUGUCAUACAAAGAUAAACUGGUGGAUCCUUGGUGAUAUGAUCAAUGUGUCAUGGGAAUGAUCUGGCUGACAGAUCAUCCCAAAAAGGACUUUCCUUGAGGAUGGAUGAAGCCAAAGUGGCAGGUGAUCAAUAAAAUCCUGUUUUAGGUGCAGCUUUAAAGACAUGUAGCUGAACAAAUGUUGCAACUUAGGAGAUACUGCCAAACUAUGUAUAACAAAACACUGAUUCCAAUCACUGGCAGAAUCGCAGAGAAGUGCCAAUACUCAAGCUCAUCUUGGCUUCCUGAGAUCUUCUACUUGGUUGGUUCCAACAGUCAAGUAGGGGCAGAACUAUCAAGAUGCACAGAUCUCAGUGGAGUUACAAUUCACAAGAUUCAACUAAUAACCACUGGCAGAGCACAUGAGACAAUCAAAUCAAUAAAUGAUUUCUGUACCCAAAUGAA
This is a non-coding RNA of Chiloscyllium plagiosum (whitespotted bambooshark), 1141 nucleotides long. Lineage: Eukaryota; Metazoa; Chordata; Chondrichthyes; Orectolobiformes; Hemiscylliidae. The record is from RefSeq and is a predicted model, not a curated record.